UAGGUGGCACUGUUUUCAUAGAGGCAGAGAGGAGCAAUAGGAGGAGGCGCUCGAGCGGCGCAGGAGAGGAGGCGAUUCCCUUGGGUUCAUGGCGUUUCCGAGCCGCCUCUCUGCUCGAGUUUGAUUUUCCCUUUGAUUCUUGUCUCCCCUGGUUGGUUCUUCUUGUCUCUCCCUCUUUCUUGCGCUCGAUUUGCCCCAUCCUUGUUCGUGUAGUAUCCAGAUCAUCUAGUGGUUGUGGUCGUUUCCCCCCUCUAAUUUGUUUCUUCUACUAUAGAUGUAGAGGUAGGCGAUUUUGUAGUUGUAGUGCUGGAUUCCCCUGUUUUCUGAUGGCCUGGGUUCCUAAUCCGCAUGCAUUUUUUGUCUGUAGUUUGUCUGCCCCGGGAUUCUGCUGGCUUAUGCAAUGUAGAUGCAGUUUGCGAUUUGUAGUUUGAUUUUGGCUGGCCCUUUUGUUGUGUAGAUAUAGGUGUUAUUUGUUUCAGUUUCCUGCUCUAUUAUGGUUUUUGAUGUGUUGGCUACUUAUGUGUUCAGUUUCCUACCCAUGUUACCUCUUGUAGUCCCUGAAUCCCUCUUGAUUUUUGUUGUUAGAUGUAGGUGUUUAGUUUCCCUGGUGCCAUGCUAAUAUACCCCAGAAUUUCUCUGAAUUAGUGUGCACUAGGCAUGUGGUGCUGAUGUAGGCCUGUAGUGUUGUUGCAGUGUUAGCCAAAUGGAUUUUUCUUGUUUUUGUCAUUGUAUAAUAUACCCCAGAAUCACAGUGUAAUUUUAUCUCAGAAUUUGAGUGUAAUGCCCAUGCUUCUUUAUUGUAACUACAGUGCUAUAUACCCUACAUAUAUAGUGUAAUUUAGCUCAGAUUUGCAUUGUAAUAUGCGUAAAAUUGCACUGUAAUUUUCCAACCCUAGAUUUACAGUGUAAUUUACCCUGGGUUUUCACUAUUUUUUAUGCUUCAGGACUGUAAUUGUUGCAUGGUUACACCGUAUUAUUUUGUAGUUUUACACUGUAAUUUUCAUGGUUCAGCGCUGUAAUUGUUGCAGGGCUUACGGUUUUUUGUUCGAUACAUUACUUUCAGUUGCUUCAUCACUGUAAUUUAUCACAGAUUUUCUCCGUAAGUUAUACGCUACAAGUCUUUAAUUGUUGUAUGCUUCAGAUAGAUUAUAGUGAUUUACUGCAGAUUCUUGGUGUUCUUCGGUUAGCUUCAGUAAUGAAUUGUUGUAUGGCUUACACUGUAUUUUACUGCAGAUUUACACUGUAAUUUGAAUGCUUCAGCAUUGUAAUUGUUGUAGGUUUAUGUCAGAUAGAUUACAUUGGAUUUUACUGCAGAUUUACACUGUAAUUUGAAUGCUUUGGCACUGUAAUUGCUGUAGGUUUAUGUCAGAUAGAUUACAGUGAAUUUUCCUGCAGAUUUACACUAUAAUUUGAAUACUUCGGCACUGUCAUUGCUGUAGGUUUAUGUCAGGUAGAUUACAGUGGAUUUCCCUGCAGAUUUACAUUGUAAUUUUAAUGCUUCGGCACUGUAAUUGCUGUAGGUUUAUGUCAGAUAGAUUAAAGUGGAUUUUACUACAGACUUAUUCCCUCCGUUCGGAAUUACUUGUCGCAGAAAUGGAUGUAUCUAGAUUUAUUUUUUGUUCUAGAUACAUUCAUUUUCGAGACAAGUAAUUUCGAACGGAGGGAGUACACUGUAGUAUGAGUUCUUCCUAUGACAUUCUCAGUAGAUCUUCAGUUACUGUCCUUAUCAUGCUCCUCAUGCUCUUCAGUUACAUUCCUGUAUUUACGUUGUAAAUUGUAGUACACUAUCUCUGAAGUUUCACUGUAAUUUUGUUGUGUUUUUAUAGCAUAUGCUCGCAUACUUUCAACUUAAACUCCUGUGUAUGUAGUAUGUAUUUUUUGGACUCCAGUAACUGUAUUUCUUUGCUAUUUUACUCUGUACUUCUUGGUGAUUUACACUGUACUUGUUGGGUAUUUACAGUGUAAGUUCAUCAGUCUUUACAGUGUAAUUCCCUGGGUUAAUGUAUAAUGUAUUUUUUCAGAGGAUUUACACUGAAAUUGUUGGGUACUUACAGUGCAAGUUCAUUAGUUUUCGCAAGUGUAAAUACCUGAUAAUAACAAUGCAAUUCUAGGGGAUUUACAUUGUAAUUUGUGGGUGUUUACAGUGUAACUUCAUGAGC
RNAcentral lists this ribosomal RNA (2159 nucleotides) under Triticum aestivum (bread wheat). Its description in RNAcentral is "partial small subunit ribosomal RNA". The stretch from base 1557 to 1672 matches the Rfam family "MIR1120/MIR1122 microRNA precursor family". The record is from RNAcentral. Lineage: Eukaryota; Viridiplantae; Streptophyta; Magnoliopsida; Poales; Poaceae.